CAGCAGCCGCGGUAAUACGGAGGAUGCAAGUGUUAUCCGGAAUUACUGGGCGUAAAGCGUCUGUAGGUGGUUUAAUAAGUCAACUGUUAAAUCUUGAGGCUUAACUUCAAAACAGCAGUCGAAACUAUUAGACUAGAGUAUAGUAGGGGUAAAGGGAAUUUCCAGUGGAGCGGUGAAAUGCGUAGAUAUUGGAAAGAACACCGAUGGCGAAAGCACUUUACUGGGCUAUUACUAACACUCAGAGACGAAAGCUAGGGUAGCAAAUGGGAUUAGAUACCCCAGUAGUCCUAGCUGUAAACAAUGGAUACUAGAUGUUGAACAGAUCGACCUGUGCAGUAUUAAAGCUAACGCGUUAAGUAUCCCGCCUGGGAAGUAUGCUCGCAAGAGUGAAACUCAAAGGAAUUGACGG
Molecule: ribosomal RNA, 409 nt
Filed under: uncultured bacterium
Lineage: Bacteria
Description: bacterial SSU rRNA
Rfam family: Bacterial small subunit ribosomal RNA
Source: RNAcentral